CACAUACUUCCUCCGUUCAAAAAUACUUGUCUCAGUGAUGAAUGUAUCUAGACUUAUUUUAGUUAUAGAUACAUUCAUUAUAUUCAUUUAUAGGAUAAGUAAUUUCGGACGGAGGGAGUAUUAG
Molecule: non-coding RNA, 124 nt
Organism: Hordeum vulgare subsp. vulgare (domesticated barley)
Lineage: Eukaryota; Viridiplantae; Streptophyta; Magnoliopsida; Poales; Poaceae
Source: Rfam